UAGGGAAUCUUCCACAAUGGACGCAAGUCUGAUGGAGCAACGCCGCGUGAGUGAAGAAGGGUUUCGGCUCGUAAAGCUCUGUUGGUAGUGAAGAAAGAUAGAGGUAGUAACUGGCCUUUAUUUGACGGUAAUUACUUAGAAAGUCACGGCUAACUACGUGCCAGCAGCCGCGGUAAUACGUAGGUGGCAAGCGUUGUCCGGAUUUAUUGGGCGUAAAGCGAGUGCAGGCGGUUCAAUAAGUCUGAUGUGAAAGCCUUCGGCUCAACCGGAGAAUUGCAUCAGAAACUGUUGAACUUGAGUGCAGAAGAGGAGAGUGGAACUCCAUGUGUAGCGGUGGAAUGCGUAGAUAUAUGGAAGAACACCAGUGGCGAAGGCGGCUCUCUGGUCUGCAACUGACGCUGAGGCUCGAAAGCAUGGGUAGCG
Molecule: ribosomal RNA, 423 nt
Filed under: uncultured bacterium
Lineage: Bacteria
Description: bacterial SSU rRNA
Rfam family: Bacterial small subunit ribosomal RNA
Source: RNAcentral